AGUGAACGCUGGCGGUAGGCCUAACACAUGCAAGUCGAACGGCAGCACAGUAAGAGCUUGCUCUUACGGGUGGCGAGUGGCGGACGGGUGAGGAAUACAUCGGAAUCUACUUUUUCGUGGGGGAUAACGUAGGGAAACUUACGCUAAUACCGCAUACGACCUACGGGUGAAAGCAGGGGAUCUUUGGACCUUGCGCGAUUGAAUGAGCCGAUUCGGGAUUAGCUAGUUGGCGGGGUAAAGGCCCACCAAGGCGACGAUCCGUAGCUGGUCUGAGAGGAUGAUCCGCCACACUGGAACUGAGACACGGUCCAGACUCCUGCGGGAGGCACCAGUGGGGAAUAUUGGGCAAUGGGCGCAAGCCUGAUCCAGCCAUACCGCGUGGGUGAUGAAGGCCUUCGGGUUGUAAAGCCCUUUUGUUGGGAAAGAAAAGCAGCAGGUUAAUACCCCGCUGUUCUGACGGUACCCAAAGAAUAAGCACCGGCUAACUUCGUG
Molecule: ribosomal RNA, 492 nt
Filed under: uncultured bacterium
Lineage: Bacteria
Description: partial 16S ribosomal RNA
Rfam family: Bacterial small subunit ribosomal RNA
Source: RNAcentral